AGGACAGCACGUGGAAAACGGGACAAAUGUUCUACAAACAUUUAAUGGUACUUCAGCGUUUAACAAUGUACCAGAAUACGACUGUGGACGUGUAGUGCAAACGCUCUUUCACGUCGUUGAAAAACGUCCAAGGCAGGAGUUUCGUGGAGAUAUGGGACAUUUUCAAGUGAUGAUGGCUACACCAGAGACUGUCACAUUUGGAUAUCGAAUUUAAACCCCACUGAAAAUUACGUUAACUACGAGUACCGCUAAGCAGAUCAAAUCAUGCGUAAUAUUAACCUCAUUGAUCAUAGAUCAUUUGUCGUAUAUGUUAUAUUUUGAAAAGUUGUUGAUCUUGAUAUUUGAU
This is a non-coding RNA of Cinara cedri, 346 nucleotides long. The record is from the annotation of a GenBank genome assembly. NCBI's taxonomy places the organism in Eukaryota, Metazoa, Arthropoda, Insecta, Hemiptera, Aphididae.